This 1373-nucleotide ribosomal RNA is filed under the name Klebsiella pneumoniae. RNAcentral's name for it is "bacterial LSU rRNA". It matches the Rfam family "Bacterial large subunit ribosomal RNA", at positions 649 to 2007 of the family's 2925-position model. The record is from RNAcentral. Lineage: Bacteria; Pseudomonadati; Pseudomonadota; Gammaproteobacteria; Enterobacterales; Enterobacteriaceae.
ACCGUAUAGGGGAGCCGCAGGGAAACCGAGUCUUAACUGGGCGUUAAGUUGCAGGGUAUAGACCCGAAACCCGGUGAUCUAGCCAUGGGCAGGUUGAAGGUUGGGUAACACUAACUGGAGGACCGAACCGACUAAUGUUGAAAAAUUAGCGGAUGACUUGUGGCUGGGGGUGAAAGGCCAAUCAAACCGGGAGAUAGCUGGUUCUCCCCGAAAGCUAUUUAGGUAGCGCCUCGUGAAUUCAUCUUCGGGGGUAGAGCACUGUUUCGGCUAGGGGGUCAUCCCGACUUACCAACCCGAUGCAAACUACGAAUACCGAAGAAUGUUAUCACGGGAGACACACGGCGGGUGCUAACGUCCGUCGUGAAGAGGGAAACAACCCAGACCGCCAGCUAAGGUCCCAAAGUCAUGGUUAAGUGGGAAACGAUGUGGGAAGGCACAGACAGCCAGGAUGUUGGCUUAGAAGCAGCCAUCAUUUAAAGAAAGCGUAAUAGCUCACUGGUCGAGUCGGCCUGCGCGGAAGAUGUAACGGGGCUAAACCAUGCACCGAAGCUGCGGCAGCGACACUAUGUGUUGUUGGGUAGGGGAGCGUUCUGUAAGCCUGCGAAGGUGUGCUGUGAGGCAUGCUGGAGGUAUCAGAAGUGCGAAUGCUGACAUAAGUAACGAUAAAGCGGGUGAAAAGCCCGCUCGCCGGAAGACCAAGGGUUCCUGUCCAACGUUAAUCGGGGCAGGGUGAGUCGACCCCUAAGGCGAGGCCGAAAGGCGUAGUCGAUGGGAAACAGGUUAAUAUUCCUGUACUUGGUGUUACUGCGAAGGGGGGACGGAGAAGGCUAUGUUAGCCGGGCGACGGUUGUCCCGGUUUAAGCGUGUAGGCUGGUUAUCCAGGCAAAUCCGGAUAAUCAAGGCUGAGGUGUGAUGACGAGGCACUACGGUGCUGAAGUAACAAAUGCCCUGCUUCCAGGAAAAGCCUCUAAGCAUCAGGUAACAUCAAAUCGUACCCCAAACCGACACAGGUGGUCAGGUAGAGAAUACCAAGGCGCUUGAGAGAACUCGGGUGAAGGAACUAGGCAAAAUGGUGCCGUAACUUCGGGAGAAGGCACGCUGGUGUGUAGGUGAAGUCCCUGCGGAUGGAGCUGAGACCAGUCGAAGAUACCAGCUGGCUGCAACUGUUUAUUAAAAACACAGCACUGUGCAAACACGAAAGUGGACGUAUACGGUGUGACGCCUGCCCGGUGCCGGAAGGUUAAUUGAUGGGGUUAUCCGUAAGGAGAAGCUCUUGAUCGAAGCCCCGGUAAACGGCGGCCGUAACUAUAACGGUCCUAAGGUAGCGAAAUUCCUUGUCGGGUAAGUUCCGACCUGCACGAAUGGCGUAAUGA